RNAcentral lists this ribosomal RNA (538 nucleotides) under Tiarina fusus. RNAcentral describes it as "Tiarina fusa partial Eukaryotic small subunit ribosomal RNA". It matches the Rfam family "Eukaryotic small subunit ribosomal RNA", at positions 581 to 1124 of the family's 1831-position model. Lineage: Eukaryota; Ciliophora; Prostomatea; Prorodontida; Colepidae. The record is from RNAcentral.
AAUUCCAGCUCCAAUAGCGUAUAUCAAAGUUGUUGCAGUUGAAAAGCUCGUAGUUGGUGUUGUUGUGGGGGGUUAUAGGUUGGUUUUAUACUGGCCGCUUCUCCCUCGCAAUUCUAGACAUAGCUUACGCUGUGUCUUCCAUUACUGUGACAAAAUUAGAGUGUUUCAAGCGGGCGCUUUGCCCUCAUACUAAAGCAUGGAAUAAUACCAUAUGAUCGCUAUGCGAUUCUUUGAAUUGGUUGCGAAUAGCGAUAAUGAGUAAGAGGGCCAGUUGGGGGUAUUUAAAUUUCGUCGUCAGAGGUGAAAUUCUUGGAUCGACGAAAGAUAAUCAACUGCGAAAGCAUCUACCAAGGAUGGUUUCAUUAAUCAAGAACGAAAGUCAGGGGAUCGAAGAGGAUUAGAUACCCUCGUAGUCUUGACCAUAAACGAUACCGACUCGGGAUUGCUAGUAGAUUUGGGUGUUGGUGUUUACUGGCGCCUAAGAGAAACUAGCAGCACCGUACGAGAAAUCAUUAAGUCUUUGGGUUCCGGGGGGAGU